GGUGGCUCAGUGGUAGAGUGCUUGCUUUGCAUGUAUGCAAGAGGCCCUGGGUUUGAUUCCUCAGCACCA
Molecule: transfer RNA, 69 nt
Filed under: Dipodomys ordii (Ord's kangaroo rat)
Lineage: Eukaryota; Metazoa; Chordata; Mammalia; Rodentia; Heteromyidae
Rfam family: tRNA
About the family: Transfer RNA (tRNA) molecules are approximately 80 nucleotides in length. Their secondary structure includes four short double-helical elements and three loops (D, anti-codon, and T loops).
Source: Rfam by way of RNAcentral